This is a long non-coding RNA of Homo sapiens (human), 1292 nucleotides long. Ensembl annotates it as long intergenic non-protein coding RNA 2207. Lineage: Eukaryota; Metazoa; Chordata; Mammalia; Primates; Hominidae. The record is from Ensembl.
GGGAGUCAUCUUCACCCUCAGGCUGGUAGACUCCAGUCUCUUAGGUCAGAAUGGGAUUAGAGACCCGUUCCUGAACCAGUCACACACAGCGGGUGAAACUGCUAUGAUUGGUUUAGACUUAGAGACUGGAAUGGAUGCUGAUCCUUAGAAUAUACACAAAGUUUUCAUGGACCACACAUUAUGAAACACUGGAUUAGCGCAAAGUGAAAUGCUUCCAGAGUAGGAGCCACUAUUCUGAGGAAUCUUGGAAGAAAAAUCCCCAGAUAGCAGAUGACUGGUAGGAAGAUGAGGCAAGUUUGCGGUCCAUUGUCAUGGAUAGUGGAGACAACACUGGGCCAGAAGUGGUAAGACCUGAAUCCAAGACUCAGCUCUGCCACUUGCUAAAUGGGACUUUGAAUAAACCAUUUCUCUGCACUUAAGUUCCUUACCAACAAAACGAGGGAAGUGGCCUACAUGCCUAGAUAUCAACAUUUCAUGUCACGUAGAGAUCUAGCAUCACAAGAAUCCAAGUCAUCCUCUGUUGCCUUUAAGAAAUUAGAAUUAAAGGAAUCAGAAUUGAAGUGAAUCUGACUACACUAAGCCUAUCACUUGUGACAGCCAUGGGAAGAUAUCAUUGGUUGCUGAGGAGCAGAAAUAAGCAGAGACCUAUUGUGUUAGGUUAUCAUUCAUUUCAGUUGUUCCCCUUUGGCCUGUGAAGAGUGGAACAGGAGUUACACAAAUAGAGAUGAUUGCCUCUCCAUCCUGACAAAGUAUGAUAAAGACCACCGAAGUGUUGUACGCAAGAAAGCACAGGAUGGCUGGGAUGAGUGAACUAUGUAUCCCAGGUUUUACUUAGGCCUCAGCAUCCAGUGACAAAAAGCAGAUCAGCAAGUUUUCAUAUUGCACUAUUUUCAAUGGCUGGAGCAUCAACAUUUUACAACAAGAAAAAAAUUAAAAUUCUUCAACAUUUGGAAAAGAAGUGUUUGUAAAACUUUUCACAUCCAUUCACCAUCCGGAAAAGCAAGGUUUUACAGUGAGGCCUGAUGAUGUCUAGAGUCACCAUGCAUCUUGGAAAAUGACCUCCUAUUUAUUUCUUCUACAGGACACCAUGGUGUUCACCUUUCUACAACUUUACACUUGCUGAGGACAUAUUGUGGAAAAUUAAGAGAAAUAUAUAUGGAUGGCCAAGGCUGUAGAUGGAUGUCCAAGCCUUUUUACUGGGGAAUGUUUUCAGAACAAAAUGAGUUACAGGUUCAAGAGUGAAACCCAACAAAUCUUGGCUCUUUUUUUCUCUACUAAAUUCCAAAUCAAAA